This 158-nucleotide ribosomal RNA is filed under the name Lichenomphalia alpina. RNAcentral's name for it is "5.8S ribosomal RNA". It matches the Rfam family "5.8S ribosomal RNA". Rfam says of the family: 5.8S ribosomal RNA (5.8S rRNA) is a component of the large subunit of the eukaryotic ribosome. It is transcribed by RNA polymerase I as part of the 45S precursor that also contains 18S and 28S rRNA. The record is from RNAcentral. Lineage: Eukaryota; Fungi; Basidiomycota; Agaricomycetes; Agaricales; Hygrophoraceae.
CAACUUUCAACAACGGAUCUCUUGGCUCUCCCAUCGAUGAAGAACGCAGCGAAAUGCGAUAAGUAAUGUGAAUUGCAGAAUUCAGUGAAUCAUCGAAUCUUUGAACGCACCUUGCGCCCUUUGGUAUUCCGAAGGGCAUGCCUGUUUGAGUGUCAUUG